This 448-nucleotide ribosomal RNA is filed under the name uncultured bacterium. Its description in RNAcentral is "partial 16S rRNA". The record is from RNAcentral.
GCACAGAGUUAGCCGAGGCUUAUUCGGCGGGUACCGUCAGCAUCGUCCCCACCAAAAGCGGUUUACAACCCGAAGGCCGUCGUCCCGCACGCGGCGUUGCUCCCUCAGGCGUGAGCCCAUUGGGGAAAAUUCCUUGCUGCUGCCUCCCGUAGGAGUCUGGGCCGUUUCUCAGUCCCAGUCUGGCUGGUUGUCCUCACAGACCAGCUACCCGUCACGGGCUUGGUGCGCCGUUACCACACCAACAACCUGAUGGGCCGCAGGCCCCUCCGGCGGCGCGUUGCCGCUUUCCUCCCGCGCGAACGGGAGCGUAGGCGGGAUUAGCGGGCCUUUCGGCCAGUUAUCCCCCACCGCCGGGCAGGUGCCCACGUGUUCCUCAGCCGUGCGCCACUCACCGGGCAAGCCCGGUGCGUGCGACUUGCAUGCAUUAGGCACGCCGCCAGCGUUCGUC